UACGGGGGGGGCGAGCGUUGUUCGGAAUUACUGGGCGUAAAGGGCGCGUAGGCGGUUCGCUAAGUUGGAUGUGAAAACUCUGGGCUCAACCCAGAGCCUGCAUCCAAAACUGGCGGGCUAGAGUUCUGGAGGGGGUAGCGGAAUUCCUGGUGUAGCGGUGAAAUGCGUAGAUAUCAGGAGGAACACCGGUGGCGAAGGCGGGUCUCUGGGCCGAUACUGACGCUGAGGAGCGAAAGCGUGGGGAGCGAACAGG
Molecule: ribosomal RNA, 253 nt
Filed under: uncultured bacterium
Lineage: Bacteria
Description: partial 16S ribosomal RNA
Rfam family: Bacterial small subunit ribosomal RNA
Source: RNAcentral